GACGAACGCUGGCGGCGCGCCUAACACAUGCAAGUCGAACGAGCGAGAGAGAGCUUGCUUUCUCGAGCGAGUGGCGAACGGGUGAGUAACGCGUGAGGAACCUGCCUCAAAGAGGGGGACAACAGUUGGAAACGACUGCUAAUACCGCAUAAGCCCACGACCCGGCAUCGGGUAGAGGGAAAAGGAGCAAUCCGCUUUGAGAUGGCCUCGCGUCCGAUUAGCUAGUUGGUGAGGUAACGGCCCACCAAGGCGACGAUCGGUAGCCAGACUGAGAGGUUGAACGGCCACAUUGGGACUGAGACACGGCCCAGACUCCUACGGGAGGCAGCAGUGGGGAAUAUUGCACAAUGGGGGAAACCCUGAUGCAGCGACGCCGCGUGGAGGAAGAAGGUCUUCGGAUUGUAAACUCCUGUUGUUGAGGAAGAUAAUGACGGUACUCAACAAGGAAGUGACGGCUAACUACGUG
RNAcentral lists this ribosomal RNA (466 nucleotides) under uncultured bacterium. RNAcentral describes it as "partial 16S ribosomal RNA". It matches the Rfam family "Bacterial small subunit ribosomal RNA", at positions 28 to 507 of the family's 1533-position model. The record is from RNAcentral.